RNAcentral lists this ribosomal RNA (253 nucleotides) under uncultured bacterium. RNAcentral describes it as "partial 16S ribosomal RNA". It matches the Rfam family "Bacterial small subunit ribosomal RNA", at positions 524 to 776 of the family's 1533-position model. The record is from RNAcentral.
GACGUAGGGGGCAAGCGUUGUCCGGAAUCAUUGGGCGUAAAGAGCGUGUAGGCGGUCCGGUAAGUCGGUUGUGAAAGCCCAGGGCUCAACCCUGGGAUGCCGACCGAUACUGUCGGACUAGAGUUCGGAAGAGGCGAGUGGAAUUCCCGGUGUAGCGGUGAAAUGCGCAGAUAUCGGGAGGAACACCUAUGGCGAAGGCAGCUCGCUGGGACGUUACUGACGCUGAGACGCGAAAGCGUGGGGAGCAAACAGG